UGUGUUCUCUUUCAUUCAGAGGAUGGU
Molecule: non-coding RNA, 27 nt
Filed under: Rattus norvegicus (Norway rat)
Lineage: Eukaryota; Metazoa; Chordata; Mammalia; Rodentia; Muridae
Source: RNAcentral